RNAcentral lists this transfer RNA (74 nucleotides) under Candidatus Woykebacteria bacterium RBG_16_39_9b. Its description in RNAcentral is "tRNA-Pro". It matches the Rfam family "tRNA". Rfam says of the family: Transfer RNA (tRNA) molecules are approximately 80 nucleotides in length. The record is from RNAcentral. Lineage: Bacteria; Candidatus Woykeibacteriota.
CGGGGUGUAGUAUAAUGGUAACACACCGCGCUGGGGGUGCGGUAUCGGGAGUUCGAUUCUCCCCACCCCGACCA